UACGUAGGGUGCGAGCGUUGUCCGGAAUUAUUGGGCGUAAAGGGCUCGUAGGCGGUUUGUCGCGUCUGCUGUGAAAAUCCGGGGCUCAACCCCGGACUUGCAGUGGGUACGGGCAGACUAGAGUGUGGUAGGGGGAGACUGGAAUUCCUGGUGUAGCGGUGAAAUGCGCAGAUAUCGAGAGGAACACCUGAGGUGAAGACGGGUUGCUGGGCCGACACUGACGCUGAGGCGCGAAAGCCAGGGUAGCAAACGGG
Molecule: ribosomal RNA, 254 nt
Filed under: uncultured bacterium
Lineage: Bacteria
Description: partial 16S ribosomal RNA
Rfam family: Bacterial small subunit ribosomal RNA
Source: RNAcentral